Molecule: ribosomal RNA, 236 nt
Filed under: uncultured bacterium
Lineage: Bacteria
Description: partial 16S ribosomal RNA
Rfam family: Bacterial small subunit ribosomal RNA
Source: RNAcentral
CGGCACGGGUGAGUAACACGUAUCCAACCUGCCGUCUACUCUUGGACAGCCUUCUGAAAGGAAGAUUAACACAAGAUGGCAUCAUGAGUUCACAUGUUCACAUGAUUAAAGGUAUUCCGGUAGACGAUGGGGAUGCGUUCCAUUAGAUAGUAGGCGGGGUAACGGCCCACCUAGUCUUCGAUGGAUAGGGGUUCUGAGAGGAAGGUCCCCCACAUUGGAACUGAGACACGGUCCAA